GAUGCUACUACCUGGAGGGACUCACCUUUACCAACACCAAGGGAGCCAGCCCUGAGAGUUCAUGCCAAGUCAUCUUUCUCCUGCUUUGUUCCCUGGAACUGAUAAACUGCUGCUUCGAAAAACCAGAAGGCCUUGCCUCUAUUUUGUUUUCAGUUCUACUCCCUAAGAGCCUCAGCAUAAAUAUGAGAGGAGAUAAAGGGAAAGUUAAGAAACUUCUGUUAGCAUUCUGAUGUUCAAACCCAAGUCUUGAUCUUCCUGUUGAGGGCCAUCCAAGAGCACCAUGAUGAAGUGGAAAGAGAUUGUUCACAAGAAUGAUCACUUACAGAAGACUGAGCCCAAGGCCCUUGCUGAUGGAUUCCCAGACUUAUAUGCAUCCGAGAUUGAAGAACUUAAACAUCUUGCCCUUGCCAUGACCACAAAUCAGAGAGUAAUAAAAUUUAAUGUCCAUGGACUUUGACCUUCAAAAGACCAAAGACAGGCUGUUUCAAGAACGCGGUCUUGAACAAUUUGUUGACAUCUUCACAAAAGAAAAAUAAUUCUCUAAAUCAGUAACUGAGUCUCCGGAAGGUUUCUUCUUGGAAACCCCCACAUAGUCUCAUGAGCACCUACAAUGACAGAAAGGGGUAAGUCAGCAGCCCCAUGUCUUUGAAAUUAUUGGAUCGAAAUUCUCCUUUCCUUUAGUUAUACCUGCCAUCUCUUUAAUUCAGAAACAAUUCUGAACUUUAGUGAAUUUUUUGCAAUCGUUUUAUUCCUAGCUUAGGACUGUUUCUGCUCCUGAAAAUCAUAGAAUUCCCAGAUUCUGUGGGUGAGAAAUCACUUCAUCAGAGACACAAUAAAAAACAAUCAAUGUUUUGAAAAUGCAAAGUCUGGGUUGGUCACUGUGACUCCUGCCUGUAAUCCCAGCACUCUGGGAGGCCUAGAUGAAUGGAUGGCUUGAGCUCAGGAGUUCGAGAACAGCCUGCGCAACAUGGUGAAACCCUGUCUCUACCAAAAAUGCAAAAAAUUAGCUGGGCAUGGUAGCAUGUGUCUGUAGUCCUAACUACUCAGGAGGCUGAGAUGGGAGGAUCACUUAAGGCAGAGGUUGCAGUGAGCCAAGAUCUGGCCACUACUGCACUCCAGCCUGGGUGACAGAAUGAGACACAGUCUCAAAAAAAAAAAAAAAAAAAAAGGAAGAAAAGUUUGUCACUUGAAAUUUUUUUUAUUAUACUUUAAGUUCUUGAAAUUUUUGAAGUAUCAUAAUAGACACACUCCUAAGGGAAAGAAAAUGGGAAAUUACUAUUUAUUUAUACUAAUGUUUUAAAAUAUAUAUUCUCCCAGUGAUCGUUUGUUUAUAAUGAUUUGAUCAGUUUCGUCUCUAUUUAGUGUACUGGCAACAUCUUUAGACAUCAGCAAGACUCAGGAGUAACAUGUUUUUGUGCUACCCAUAAAAUAAACAAUUUUUUUCUCCAGUCAAUAAUCAUCUCUCAUCUUUCAACACAGUUGCUCUACUGCUUACUAUAGGUCUGUUUUGAGUUAAUUUUCAGUGAAAGGCAGGCAAUUUUAACUAUGAAUCUUCUUUCCUGGAUCAAAUGACCUACCCUCCCCCAAAACAUGACAUGUUAUUCAUAAUCCUGCAGUUUUAUUAAGUCAUGUACUCUUUCGACAAAUAAAGGAGAAUUCAGUUUAACUACUGACUAUCACCAGAUGGAAUGGUUGCUACAAUAAGACAAACAAUCUAGUCAUUGCAAGUAACCAAGAUGAGCAACUUAGUUCUCUGAAAAGUUAUCUAAAUAAAUUACUGGUCAUCAUACAUUUUUGUGCAAAAUGCUAAGAAAUCUUGUUUCUUAUAUAUUCUAGUGAUUAUUGUCCUUCAUUUAUUAUUUUCAAUUAUGUCUCUAAAAUAUAACAACAGGAACAACUAAAACACAGUGUCAAAAGUGAGCUCUUCAUUAAAAAAAAAACAUGCACAGGAUAUUUGGUGCUAGUCCCAGUGGAGAUUUAGGAGAUUUUCAAUCUGUUCAGGCCAAUGAUCAC
RNAcentral lists this long non-coding RNA (2013 nucleotides) under Homo sapiens (human). RNAcentral describes it as "HSALNT0187168". The record is from RNAcentral. Lineage: Eukaryota; Metazoa; Chordata; Mammalia; Primates; Hominidae.